This 301-nucleotide ribosomal RNA is filed under the name uncultured bacterium. RNAcentral's name for it is "partial 16S ribosomal RNA". It matches the Rfam family "Bacterial small subunit ribosomal RNA", at positions 509 to 809 of the family's 1533-position model. The record is from RNAcentral.
CAGCCGCCGCGGUAAUACGAAGGGGGCUAGCGUUGCUCGGAAUUACUGGGCGUAAAGGGCGCGUAGGCGGACAGUUAAGUUGGGGGCGAAAGCCCGGGGCUCAACCUCGGAAUUGCCUUCAAUACUGGCUGUCUUGAGUAUGAGAGAGGUGUGUGGAACUCCGAGUGUAGAGGUGAAAUUCGUAGAUAUUCGGAAGAACACCAGUGGCGAAGGCGACACACUGGCUCAUUACUGACGUUGAGGCGCGAAAGCGUGGGGAGCAAACAGGAUUAGAUACCCCAGUAGUCCCUGUCUCUUAUAA